This 2804-nucleotide unclassified non-coding RNA is filed under the name Limulus polyphemus (Atlantic horseshoe crab). RNAcentral describes it as "pleckstrin homology domain-containing family G member 3-like, transcript variant X2". The record is from RNAcentral. Lineage: Eukaryota; Metazoa; Arthropoda; Merostomata; Xiphosura; Limulidae.
AUGAGCUAGAUUAAAUACACCAAGUGUAAUUAUUAUCGAUUUUAUUUAAGUUAUUUACAUAUCAGAAUUACGGAAAGGAUUAAUAAAACUGUUAUUUAUUAUCAUUAUUACUUGAGUUAACUUCAUUAUUAUUCAGAAGAACUCUCUCUCUCUCUCCGGAUCAGGAUUUAGGUCUUUUACGACCUGGGAGAGUCAGGUUAUAGUAGACCUGUUUCUCCCUAAAGAAGACUGGAGAACCAGCAAGCUAGUUUUCAAAGCACCCACGUGAAUGGUUUCAUGACGUGUAUAUGUUAAUUAAUGAAAAUUCAACUUUUAAUCACGAUGAUUUGAAACGGAGAAAUUUCGCAUUCAUUUUUUCUUUGAAUAUAUACAGCUUCUACUGUGCCGGGUGGAACAGUCUCAUGAUCGAAAAGAGUGUGUAACGCCUUCGCGAAGAACAAAAAGGCGAUUAACAUUUCCAUCCUGGGCCCCUGAAUGUAGGAGGGGCUUCAGCUUUUGGCGCCACAAGGAAAAUAAACGAUGGGUAGUUCCUCUGGUCCCUACAGCUGAGUCAGACGAAACCUGAAUACUAGAGGAAUUAAUAAAGGCGAUAGUCAGCUAGUUUGUAUAUAUCCAUCCCCUCGGCACAAAGUGGACCCGUCCGCUGACUUAGAUUUCUUGCUUGUUUGAUUACUCGAAGCCUGCUCUUGUCAUUUAAGUACACGCGCUGUGUGGUUAGUCUGUCACCCUUAGGCACUUUCCUUGACAUGACUUCAACUCCGGUCCGUUUGCUACUGAGCACAAACAUUUCCCUGACAAACUGUCCACGGGACUGGUAAGGUACAUGGAUGGCCCUCACUUUACAAGACACUGAAGUGACAUACAAAAGAUUAGGAAUAAAACAGACGUGAAGUAAGAUCAAAUUGUUUUUAUAAGUGAUGACCUGAUAUGAGUCCAAUAUACUUACUCUCGUUUGAUAUUGAUUGUGAAGAUUUCGUAUACAAAAUUCAACCUUCAUUAAGAACUGGAGGAAAAUAUAUAACUAAAAGUAUGUUUACUAUGCAUCGUAACGGAAACCGUAGAAAACGGUCACACAGUAGCCCGAACUGUACGGGAUUUAAUUGAGGAAUUCUGAUAACGUGCGAAGCUUUGCUUAAAUUCUGUGGCAAACUUUUUCCAGUGACGCUAUUGUAACAAAAACAGAGGUGUUUCAUAAGCAUGACAUAGGCUUAGAAAUGAUUAAAGCCGAAAACCUAGGCAAAUCGUGUAAUAAUUAUAGUAGCCAAGAGCUUUCACUUGUGGUUGUUGGCAUUUUGAUGUGAAGUGAGUUUAAGGAUAACGAUUCUGAAAAAAGUACACAAAACUGUAACUAACUGUAACCUUGUUAACAACUUGUGAUGAAAAGUGUUUGGGAAUAUACCGUUUCCAAGGUUACCCUUAAUGGAAAAUUGCCAAGUAAACAGUUUUCAAUACAUUGAAUGGAAAAACCACAAAAAAUGAUCUGCUCCAGACAAACACCUUCAGAUUAAUGUUGUAACAGAAGUAUCGCAAUCAAUGUAACUCCAAAGUAAUCCGUGUGUGUGGGGGGACUGAAUGUUAACCCCCGGACGUGAGGUUCUUGUGUAAGCUUUAAGUCCAUUAAGUUGGUAUAUGCACGUGGAAUUUAUCCUGCGGAGUGCCUAACAAGGCACAUCCUGCGGUCUUUUAAAUUACAUAUAUACUUCUACGGAUGGUGAAACAAGAGAGUGGUGAGUUCUCUACUCGGACCUACCGACCUUUUGAUGUCAAACUGUCCAUUCUCAAGCGUGUCAGUCUGGUCAGCGAUGAUCACAGCAUGUUUGACCCAUCCUGCUACGUCCAGUGCAAACGUACUUCUGACCAGGAUUAUGAGUCAGACGGCUCACUUACCUGGGAAGAUUUCUUCGGGACGACCGUGGAGAUCAGCUCUGGUUUAAUGGAUAUGUAUGAUACACUCAUACGAAAAGACAAGAUUGAAGAGCAGCAGGAUAAGGCCUGUACAGAUAAAGAAGCCCUCGGUAGCUCUGGGGUAAAUGAAACAGCCAAUAAUAGCUUCGGUGAAGUGUCGCCAAGUUAUUCCAACAAAACCCUUCACGAUGAGAAACUUUCCGGAGGACUGCCAGCAACCAGCAGUAGGGAGAGAAAUAUCUUAUCCAGACGGAGUAUGUCUGUUACAGACACAUAUCACACUGUGGGCAAAAAGAGGCCGCUCAGCACGAGUUCCGUGUCGUCUUCGUCCUCGUCUUCGUCGUCUUCCCUUCCCCGCAAUGGUAUAGACGUUAAAAAAUCUUACCUGGCCAGCAUAGAAAGCCUGGAUGACGAUGAUGAUGUGAGUAGAUAUGGGGAGGGACGCACAGGUGCACAUUGUUCUCGAGAUCAGCUACCCCAUGCCAGAGAGAGAAGAAGUCUUGGUAGCCUCUCUGAAUGUGGUGGUAGUGAAGAAAACUCUACUAUCACUUCCCCGUCCCGACAAACUUCAUAUGAUCCGAACCUGGGUCUUAUCGACCGCGUCAUUUUAGAAAUUGUGGACACCGAACGAACCUACGUCAAAGAUCUCAACGAAAUAAUCGAGCUUUUCCAAUCCUUUGUGCCUGAUUAGUGAUUUUGCUGACCGACUACGAUUGCGACUGCGUCGCCUGCCGGCUAGUCCAUGACCUUAGAUGUCAUUCGACACCUGGUUCUCAGCGGUUUAGUGUCUACUUGCUUGGCUCCGGCCUGUCCGACAUAUCGAUAGCGCGUUCAAGGUUAUCUUCACCACAUCCAGAAAUCGGGAAAUACAAAAGUCAGUGAACAAAGUCUUAAAGAUC